AGUUUGUUAAAAGUUUGUAUUGUUUUGUGUAAAGCUGAGAAAACAUUGCUUUGUAUGAGUUAAGAUUAACAUCUGUACAUACAUGUGCAUUUAGUGUGUAAUGUUUGAUCGCUUUUCUGUCAGUUUAUGAUAUUGAUCUUUCCUGUAAUCUAUGUUGAAAUUUACUUUCUUAUUCUGAAUUAAUUUUAAGAAACCAUGAUAAUACUUUCGUCAGAUACCCAUUCAUAAAACAAUGCAUGUAGGUUCUAUGGUAUCAGAAUACUUUCGUCAGAUACCCAUUCAUAAAACAAUGCAUGUAGGUUCUAUGGUAUCAGAAUACUUUUGUCAGAUACCCAUUCAUAAAACAAUGCAUGUAGGUUCUAUGGUAUCAGAAUACUUUCGUCAGAUACCCAUUCAUAAAACAAUGCAUGUAGGUUCUAUGGUAUCAGAAUACUUUCGUCAGAUACCCAUUCAUAAAACAAUGCAUGUAGGUUCUAUGGUAUCAGAAUACUUUCAUCAGAUACCCAUUCAUAAAACAAUGCAUGUAGGUUCUAUGGUAUCAGAAUACUUUCAUCAGAUACCCAUUCAUAAAACAAUGCAUGUAGGUUCUAUGGUAUCAGAAUACUUUUGUCAGAUACCCAUUCAUAAAACAAUGCAUGUAGGUUCUAUGGUAUCAGAAUACUUUUGUCAGAUACCCAUUCAUAAAACAAUGCAUGUAGGUUCUAUGGUAUCAGAAUACUUUUGUCAGAUACCCAUUCAUAAAACAAUGCAUGUAGGUUCUAUGGUAUCAGAAUACUUUCAUCAGAUACCCAUUCAUAAAACAAUGCAUGUAGGUUCUAUGGUAUCAGAAUACUUUCAUCAGAUACCCAUUCAUAAAACAAUGCAUGUAGGUUCUAUGGUAUCAGAUAAUUGCCAGAAAAAAGGGAUUCAUUCAAGGUCAUUCAUGGAAGUCAAACGAAAACAUAAAUUUAGCAUUACAUUUUGAAUUAUUCAUAGCAUUUGUAUGUGAUUAUAAGAAAUACUCUGUGUCAUGUGCACUUGAAUGUUAUACAAUCUGUGCGGCAUUGCUUGUUCUCAUAAAAUAAGACAACUUUCAUUCAAAAUUACUCAAGAUGUUAUUUAAUCGCAUAUCUUGUGUGUCCUUGAGCAUAGAUUGUACACGUAGCAAAAAUUAUUGCAGUUAUAAGCAUUUACUUUUGUACGUCAUUUUUAUAAGCAUAUGUCCAUGUUUAUUCAUAUCAGCUUAGAAAAGUCACUGUUGAUUUAAAGAACUUGAUACAUUAAUCACUGUUGAUUUAAAGAACUUGAUACAUUAACCCUUGCCAACUUAGAAGCAAAGUGAAAAUGGCUAUGUGCAAGCAGCAUAAAACCAGAACAGCCUGCGAGUAACUCGCAGUCUGUUCAGGUUUUAUGCUGUUUGCUGCUCAUCAGUAUAUAAAGGUUGGAAAUGAAGCCUUUAAAACUCGAAUAUAGUAAGAAAGGUCUUUAAUUAGAUUUAACUUUCUAAGGGAAUACAAAUGCGUCAAAAAAUGUAUUUAAGUGGUAAAGAGUUAAAAACAAAACACUUCAUUACUUAUGGUCUACCAAUGAUUUGGUUGUAUACUACUUGUAUAUGUUUUUGCUCACAGGUACAUUCAACAAAUGAGAAACAAACGCAUCUUUUUACCUUGCAAUAGUAAUUGUUUGCACUAUUGUACAUUCUCAUGCACUGUGUAUUGUUCUUUGUAAAUAUCUUUCUUUUGUAAGGUUUGGGUUGGUAAUAACUGUUUACAAAACUGUGUUCACCAUUAUGAGGGUCCAGACAACAAUUUGUACUGUUUAUCUCAACAUGUACUCUUUGUUUUGUCUUUGUUUAUUGUAAUGCAUUCUUUUCUUAAAAUAAGAUUUUUUUUAAACUCCUCAAAUUUCCUUUCAAUAUGCACAUGCAUAUCUUUAGCACAGUCUUCUUAAAAUUGAAAAUCAAAUGUGAUUUUUCGCUCCUCCUGGAAAUUUAACAAAAUGUCAGUUACACUACUUUUAACAUUCAGAAGACGACAUGUUCGCUCAUGUCAAUUUCGUUAAACAUCUUUUUUUACCAAAACAGUUGUCUUAAUAUUUUAAUAGUUGAUGUAUGACACAAAAGUAAACGCAUACAUGGAAAAAAGUAAAAAUGUAUUAAAUGUCAGUAACAUGACUUACCAAGUAAAUGAUGUUGGUUAUGUUUGUUAUGACAAAUUCAGCUAUGACAAAUGGUAACGUUUGCUGUAAUUACUAGGUUUUAUUCACCGACACCAAAUUUCUGGAUUUGUUGGAAUCAAUUCUUUUUCACCAUCUUUGACAUUACAAAAUGAUUCAUACAAAAAAUGGUCAUGUAUUGACAGUGAAAUUGCAUAUUUUAUGUGUUGUGCUAAAUCAGAAAUAGUGUCAAUACAUUGUGCUUCUUUAAAUUAAUUUAAAUAAAUAAUAAAUUUAUAAUAGUUAAUGUAAUUGCACUGUAGGACACAAUGUGGACUCAGUCUCUAUAUACUUGUUUGUGUGUGGCUUAAAAUAUGUCGUUCAAAUUUCCUGUGAUUCUGCGUGUGAUGUAGUUUCCAUAUUUUUAAAUGCUUUUGCUCCUUUGAAAGCUCGUCUCAUUCAGAAACAUUUUCUUGCUUGCUGAUAGUAGAAAUUCAUUUCUGUUUAUCAUGUACUGAUAGUAGAAAUCCAUUUCUGUUUAUCAUAAACUGAUAGUAGAAAUCCAUUUCUGUUUAUCAUGUACUGAUAGUAGAAAUCCAUUUCUGUUUAUCAUAAACUGAUAGUAGAAAUCCAUUUCUGUUUAUCAUAAACUGAUAG
Dreissena polymorpha is the source of this 2790-nucleotide long non-coding RNA. RefSeq lists it as uncharacterized. The transcript has 3 exons. The record is from RefSeq and is a predicted model, not a curated record. Lineage: Eukaryota; Metazoa; Mollusca; Bivalvia; Myida; Dreissenidae.